AAAAACAAAGGAGUUAGAUUAGUUUGAGGAACAGGAAAUAUUGCUCUGUCUACCGGGGCUGCAGCGACAGGAAAUAGUGAACAGGAACUGUGCAUGCCCAUAUAUGGGAACUGAGUGUGUACAGAAAGAACACAGAGAGAGAGAUUUAACUCUAGGCACAUGAAGCAAAUGAAGCCUUUAAGAAAAAUGUAUAUAUUACUAAUUAUAUGGUUUAGUGUGUCAAUACAGGUGGGCGUCUUUCAACUUUGCAACCUUGAGUUCAGCAGCAGAAAAGUAGAUUAAAAGAAUUGGGAGAAAAUAAGCCAGUCUUUGGCUCGAAAUUGUGCAGCUUGAGCUCUUACUUUGUCCUUCACCCCGAGAAGACACGCAAAAGACAGUUAAUCACCUGAUGAAGACAGAUAGAACAUCGUGGGCUUGAAUACAGCAGGCAAACGACAGGGCCACUGAUCCAUUAACACUGAUGACGACUGACGACCAGCAGCAGCAUGUAAGACUAAUGCAACAUGUACUGUGAAAAUACAGGCUGGGCAGUUGAACAGUGGGAUAAAGAAUUGUGGAAGAGCACUGGACAUUGAGUGAUAUUUUGCCAUGCUGGGACUUAAUCUGAAAGAAAAGACUGUAAAGAAACAGAGAAGAAGACAGCAGCUGAGUUGAGACUGUGUUUGCUGGAGCUUUGAAGCCCGAACAGGACAUUGUGCAGAGAGGACCAGUGAGAGAUGAAGCUGGACGAGUUUGACUGCGAGAAUAUAGGAUAUAAUUGGAUUGAAAAUUGAAGCCUGAACUCAUGAAUUGUUUAGGGAUGUCCACUACAGCAUAACAAAGAGGUAAACAUUAGAAAAGGCCUGGAAGAGAGUGAACUGACGGCGCGGACAAAUUACCAAGUAAGGAUUGCAGCGAGUCAAUCCAGUCAAAAGUAUAGAGAACUAUUUUCCUAAAAAGGAAAAACGAAAUAAAACAAAUGAUUGAGCUCAUUUUGCUGAUGUGGAGCAUCUGAUCACGUGCGCAGAAGGCUGCAGAUCAGCAAAAAUAUCAUGUGUGAAUGCAUGGGAGUGAAUGUGAGUGAUGGGACCAAGAGGG
Molecule: long non-coding RNA, 1077 nt
Organism: Oreochromis aureus
Lineage: Eukaryota; Metazoa; Chordata; Actinopteri; Cichliformes; Cichlidae
Source: Ensembl